RNA transcript from Prunus dulcis (almond), 693 nucleotides. RefSeq lists it as uncharacterized. The transcript is spliced from 4 exons. NCBI's taxonomy places the organism in Eukaryota, Viridiplantae, Streptophyta, Magnoliopsida, Rosales, Rosaceae. The record is from RefSeq and is a predicted model, not a curated record.
UACUGGGUUCGGGCCGAGUUCCAUAUGAUUCGACCCACUUCAGUUUCGCACCAAAAUAGGACGCAGUCUUUCUCAGUUCUCACCUUCUCGCACAGAAGAGUCUGAAGAAGAGAAGAGAAGAGCAAUGAGUGGAGAAGAAUUAGCGGGCCCCCCUGCCCCAAAGCUCCUCCGUCUGCUUUAUUUUGUCGGCGCUGGCUUUUUUUGCACUGUUGGAAUCAAUAAAUGGCGUGAGCUUCAGAACAAGUCAAUUUUACAGCAGCAACAGCUCCCUGAAAAUGCCGCAAAUGCCCCUGAGUGAUCUCCAGGUUUUUGAUUUGAAAGUCUUGCUGGUGACAAUAAUGAUAAAUCAUGCUCCCUUUCAACUAUCCUUGGAUGCUUAUGCAUGAUCUCCUGGAGCUUCUAACUUCUAACUUCAAAUAACGUAGCCAAAACCACGAGGCAAUUGCUUCACUGAGUUCUGCAACCUUCACAUAAUGCAGUUAUCUGUUGCGGCUCGAUGCAGUUUUACCUUCGAAAGCCUUGAAGAACUUAUUGAGCUGAAGCUUUUAUGUUUGUUUUUUCAUAGAAGCAUUCUUUUGUCGGACUAUCAAUCAAGGUUAUUGGUUUGGCAGAUCAUAUCAAUACGUAGUCAGGAUGAAAGUUUGGCCACAUAACAUUUCAAACUACUUUUUAAAGAACGUUUCUUGGCUUUUA